This 250-nucleotide unclassified non-coding RNA is filed under the name uncultured fungus. RNAcentral describes it as "partial contains 5.8S ribosomal RNA, internal transcribed spacer 2, and large subunit ribosomal RNA". The stretch from base 1 to 52 matches the Rfam family "5.8S ribosomal RNA", at positions 103 to 154 of the family's 154-position model. Lineage: Eukaryota; Fungi. The record is from RNAcentral.
AACGCACAUUGCGCCCUCUGGUAUUCCGGGGGGCAUGCCUGUUCGAGCGUCAUUUCAACUCUCAAGCUUAGCUUGGUAUUGGUGGUUGGCCCCCUGGGGCCUCCCCGAAAUUCAGCGGCGAUGCGACCGGAAUCCCAGCGUAGUGACUUUAUAUCUCGCUGAUUGGAUCCCCGGGCGAUGUUUGCCGGAUAACAAUAUCUUUAUUUACAAGAUUGACCUCGGAUCAGGUAGGGAUACCCGCUGAACUUAA